CCCUGGGAUUCUCCAGGCAAGAACACUGGAAUGGGUUGCCAUUUCCUUCUCCAAUGCAGGAAAGUGAAAAGUGAAAGUGAAGUCGCUCAGUCGUGUCCGACUCUCAGCGACCCCAUGGACUGCAGCCCACCAGGCUCCUGCGUCCAUGGGAUUUUCCAGGCAAAAGUACUGGAGUGGGGUGCCAUUGCCUUCUCCACUCAGGGGCUAGUUAUUGCAAAAAGAGCAAAUGUAAAUCACCUCAGACAGUGAAGAUUUAGUUGCAACAACUGAUCAUCCAUGUGGAGCCAGAGCGAGGACUCCAUGAGUUCAUGAGAAUUCAACCCCAUCCAGACUUCAGUUUCAGGAGCAGAGAAAGCCUUUUGUGUGAACCUGGAAGAGGCAGGGCAGAUGGAAGGGACUGGAUGUAAAAGGGCUUAGAACUGAAGAGGAAGAAGAGCUGGCACCUGGGAACUACCAGGCACUUAGAGAAGGUAGAGACAGUAUUUAAAGUUCCAAAGGGGAAAGCCUCCACCUUCACCUGCCAGGAUACGGGUGCCAGAACCACCGGUGGGUGGCCUGUCA
Molecule: long non-coding RNA, 561 nt
Organism: Bos taurus (domestic cattle)
Lineage: Eukaryota; Metazoa; Chordata; Mammalia; Artiodactyla; Bovidae
Source: Ensembl